GCCCGGCUAGCUCAGUGGGUAGAGCAUGAGACUCUUAAUCUCAGGUUGUGUGUUCGAGCCUGACAUUGGGUG
This 72-nucleotide transfer RNA is filed under the name Cricetulus griseus (Chinese hamster). It matches the Rfam family "tRNA". From Rfam's summary of the family: Transfer RNA (tRNA) molecules are approximately 80 nucleotides in length. Their secondary structure includes four short double-helical elements and three loops (D, anti-codon, and T loops). Lineage: Eukaryota; Metazoa; Chordata; Mammalia; Rodentia; Cricetidae. The record is from Rfam by way of RNAcentral.